GCCCCCACCAAUAAUGAUAUAGUCAUAUGCCUCGUGCUGAAACGUGGGAAACCUGCUUGCCUUUAGGAAGGGAGGGAGAUUCAGUUUGGUUAAAUGAUCUCUUCCUGCAAAUUCAAGUGACCCAGGUCCCCUGGUUAUUACUCAUUCAUUCUACAGGUUACAAAUGCCAAAAAGAUAAGCCUAAGGAAAAGCUAUGGUCAAAAUACUUUACUGUAGAUAGACAGCAUGAGUUCAAAUGAUCAUUCAUUGUGCACUUAAUAUUCUGUCUGCAAUGCCAGCUUGCAAGAAUGUUGAAGGCUUGAAGCGAGCACAGCAACAACUCUUCUUCCACCACCCGCCAAUUCAGCAGGCGUUGGGUGGCCGGCCGUCCAUCCUCCUUUCUCGUCUAGGAGAAAGCAAUUCUGUUAGGAUUAGGAAGUGAUCUCCCUGUGAUUGUGAAGUGCACUCUGCACUGGGGCUGAUGGUUGCAGUUUAACACCCUCCACAACCAUAAAAUACACAUGUUAAUGUGAUGCUGAUAUUAGUAAUAGCACUGGGCAAGACAAUCAUGAGGAGACAAAUCAUGAAAGUAUUGGCGUAGUGAUCUGUUUUUUUUUUUUUUGGCUAAUUGCAGUGACCUGUAAAAGACUCCGGGCUACGCUUAAUUUGUGUGAUCUGGCCCUGUUGGUUAUCCAUUUAUGGCAGCAACCUCUUCUUGCAGCAAAUCAUUCAAUUUCAUGCCGUGCAGUUGAGCUUCUUAUUGGUGAGUAUGUGGCCGGGGAGGCCAUUCAUGUGCCCUGAGGGUCAAGCGGAUGCCUCUGUAGCUCCCUCUGUACUUCCCUUGGAAGUUUUGGUGUGCCAGAACUGGGAUCAUGGUCUGAUGAGUUACCAUUACCACUGCACCUGCGAAAAUAAAAAGUAUCGGAUGCCAGAUUUUGCAUCGGAUUCAGAGAAGCUUGUUUUUCCGUGGACAUCACGUAUGCCAUGGAUGGACCACUGCAUUCAUUGCUCUAUAUGCUGCAAUCCAUGGA
Sorghum bicolor (sorghum) is the source of this 1010-nucleotide long non-coding RNA. RefSeq lists it as uncharacterized. Lineage: Eukaryota; Viridiplantae; Streptophyta; Magnoliopsida; Poales; Poaceae. The transcript has 3 exons. The record is from RefSeq and is a predicted model, not a curated record.